This 72-nucleotide transfer RNA is filed under the name Neofusicoccum parvum UCRNP2. RNAcentral's name for it is "tRNA-Gln (TTG) (tRNA-Gln-TTG-2-1)". It matches the Rfam family "tRNA". From Rfam's summary of the family: Transfer RNA (tRNA) molecules are approximately 80 nucleotides in length. Lineage: Eukaryota; Fungi; Ascomycota; Dothideomycetes; Botryosphaeriales; Botryosphaeriaceae. The record is from RNAcentral.
GGUUGUGUAGUGUAGUGGUUAUCACUCCGGAUUUUGAUUCCGGCGACCUGGGUUCGAGCCCCAGCACGACCU